UACAGAGGUCUCAAGCGUUGUUCGGAUUCAUUGGGCGUAAAGGGUGCGUAGGUGGCGCGGUAAGUCGGGUGUGAAAUCUCGGAGCUUAACUCCGAGCGGUCGUGGGAAACUGGGCGGCUAGAGUGCGGGAGAGGAGAGUGGAAUUCCUGGUGUAGCGGUGGAAUGCGCAGAUAUCAGGAAGAACCCCCGUGGCGAAGGCGGCUCUCUGGAACGCAACUGACGCUGAGACGCGAAAGCGUGGGGAGCAAACAGG
RNAcentral lists this ribosomal RNA (253 nucleotides) under uncultured bacterium. RNAcentral's name for it is "partial 16S ribosomal RNA". It matches the Rfam family "Bacterial small subunit ribosomal RNA", at positions 524 to 776 of the family's 1533-position model. The record is from RNAcentral.